Molecule: unclassified non-coding RNA, 247 nt
Filed under: Hevea brasiliensis (rubber tree)
Lineage: Eukaryota; Viridiplantae; Streptophyta; Magnoliopsida; Malpighiales; Euphorbiaceae
Source: RNAcentral
CUUUGAUGAGAUCCAGAGCAAGACCUACAUGGAGGUGAAGGGCACCGGGACUGCAAACCAGUGUCCGACCAUCGAGGGUGGGACUGAGUCCUUCUCCUUCAAGGCCGGCAAGUACACCAUGAAGAAACUCUGCCUUGAGCCCACCUCCUUCACUGUCAAAGCUGAGGGCAUCAACAAGAACUCCCCUCCUGAUUUCCAGAAAACCAAGCUAAUGACACGCCUUACCUACACUCUUGAUGAGAUUGAG